ACUAGACAUGGCAGCACAAGCCUAUAACCCCAGCUAUCAGAGAGUUUGAGGCUGUGGUGGGUCUCAAGCAUGGGGUUUGAACUGUAGUGGCCUAUGCUGAUAGGGUGUCUGCAUUAAUUUUGGCAUCAAUAUAGUGAGCUCACAGGAGUGAGGGUCCACUGGGUUGCUUAAGAAGGGGCAAACCAGUCCAAGGUCAAAAAUGAAGAAGGUCAAAGUUCCCAAGCUAAUCAGUAGUGGGGUCAGCCUGUGAAUAGUCCCUAUGCUUCCACAUUUCUAGCCUGAAUGAGAUGAAGACACUCAGUCUCUU
RNAcentral lists this signal recognition particle RNA (307 nucleotides) under Phascolarctos cinereus (koala). Its description in RNAcentral is "Metazoan signal recognition particle RNA (ENSPCIG00000031203.1)". It matches the Rfam family "Metazoan signal recognition particle RNA". Rfam says of the family: The signal recognition particle (SRP) is a universally conserved ribonucleoprotein. It is involved in the co-translational targeting of proteins to membranes. The eukaryotic SRP consists of a 300-nucleotide 7S RNA and six proteins: SRPs 72, 68, 54, 19, 14, and 9. The record is from Rfam by way of RNAcentral. Lineage: Eukaryota; Metazoa; Chordata; Mammalia; Diprotodontia; Phascolarctidae.